RNAcentral lists this ribosomal RNA (460 nucleotides) under uncultured bacterium. RNAcentral describes it as "partial 16S ribosomal RNA". It matches the Rfam family "Bacterial small subunit ribosomal RNA", at positions 338 to 795 of the family's 1533-position model. The record is from RNAcentral.
CCUACGGGUGGCAGCAGUGAGGAAUAUUGGUCAAUGGACGAGAGUCUGAACCAGCCAAGUAGCGUGAAGGAUGACUGCCCUAUGGGUUGUAAACUUCUUUUAUAAAGGAAUAAAACGAGGCACGUGUGCCUUUUUGUAUGUACUUUAUGAAUAAGGAUCGGCUAACUCCGUGCCAGCAGCCGCGGUAAUACGGAGGAUCCGAGCGUUAUCCGGAUUUAUUGGGUUUAAAGGGCGCGUAGAUGGGUUGUUAAGUCAGUUGUGAAAGUUUGCGGCUCAACCGUAAAAUUGCAAUUGAGACUGGCAGUCUUGAGUACAGUAGAGGUAGGCGGAAUUCGUGGUGUAGCGGUGAAAUGCUUAGAUAUCACGAAGAACCCCGAUUGCGAAGGCAGCUUACUAAACUGUAACUGACAUUGAUGCUCGAAAGUGUGGGUAUCAAACAGGAUUAGAUACCCCUGUAGUC